ACUAACUAUAGGUUUAUGCA
RNAcentral lists this microRNA (20 nucleotides) under Schistosoma mansoni. Its description in RNAcentral is "sma-miR-8456-3p". Lineage: Eukaryota; Metazoa; Platyhelminthes; Trematoda; Strigeidida; Schistosomatidae. The record is from miRBase by way of RNAcentral.